This 2464-nucleotide long non-coding RNA is filed under the name Nicotiana benthamiana. Its description in RNAcentral is "long non-coding RNA (NBEN_LNC010556)". The record is from RNAcentral. Lineage: Eukaryota; Viridiplantae; Streptophyta; Magnoliopsida; Solanales; Solanaceae.
UUAUGAAGUAUUCUUGGCUUUUCACAGUUAAACAAAAAUAUGAUUUCAUGUCUGUCUUUGGUAACUUUAAAAUUCAAGUUGAACGAUACUUUAAUACAUCAAUUUAUUUUGUCCAUAGUGAUGGUGGUGGCGAAUACAUUGGCCUAUGUUCUUUACUUAGUCACCUGGGCAUUCUACAUUUCACCAGUCCAUCGUACACUCCCCAACAUGUUGGGACGGCUGAACGAAAGCAUCGUCAUAUCAUAGAGACGGCUCUUACUCUGCUACACCAUGCAUCCGUUCGACUUUAUUGUUGGUCACUUGCAUGUCAAGCAGCCAUAUACUUAAUCAAUCGCAUGCCUAUUCCGAUUCUCAAAAAUAAAUCACCUUAUCAAGCAUUAUUUAACAUUGCUCCCAACUACUUGAAACUCCGUAUCUUCGGUUGUUCAUGCUAUCCACGGCUUAGGCCAUAAACAAGCCACAAGUUAGACAAUAAAUCAAAACCAUGUGUAUUUAUGGGGUAUGAAAAAAUGUCAAGCAGUUACAUUUGCUUCGACCCUCAAAAUCAAAAAUUUUACUCUUCUCGCCAUGUCAUUUUGUAGAGUCGGUAUUCCCUUUCAAAAAUUAUCAAACUACUCUACCUCGUGUCAAUCCUACACAAUUAGGUCCAUAGGUAAUUCAUCAUGUUGAAGUUUCUUCACCAGUCAAACUCCUUCCAAAGCUCUUCUAUCUGAUGAGAUACAAAUGUCGCCGAUGAACAGAGAUUCCCAUUACUCUUCCUUGAUCAAUGAUGAGCCUUCUGUAUCACCAUCACAGGUAACUACUUUGUUUUUUGAUUUAGCUAUCAGGUAUUUAAAUUUAUUAGAGGCUCGAGUAAUUUUAAUUCGCUUUAGAUAGGCUCAAUAAAAGGUUAAAUGCUACCUACAAACAUAUUUUUAAUUUUCGUAACUUAAUGAAACUUUUUACUAAAGAUUCAUCCCACCAAUUCCACCACACUUCUCGAUUGAUUUAUUCUCAAAUGUACCAAUAUUUCACCAAACUGGCCGCGAGUUAGUUUGUAAACCACUGGCGUUGCUUAUAGUCUUGAACUGUUAUCUUGUUUUUCCUCCUUUCGUGUCACUAUCAUAUGGCCAUAAUUUGGUUAGACUUUUCUUUGCCUUUUUUCUCAUGUGGAUAGAAUUAACUCACCUUGUAAUGUAAUGAUUAAUUAUUGAGCGACUAGGAAAUACAUACUCAUAGCAAUCACUUUGUAAUAAUUUAAUAUGAUAUAGUCAUAAAGUAAAAUACACACCUCUAUAAAUUAAGCCCACAUGUUCCGAAAAACUCAAUCCAUAAUAAUGGAAGAUCAAAAACACUUGGAAUCCAUAAUCAUGGCAGCUCUUUCUACGUUAACCCCUUCGCAACUCACAGAUCUAACUCACUAUUCCUCCUCCCUCUACCAUUGUUACCACCGCCGUAUUUUCUCUCUCCUCUCUUCUCCCACCCUUUUCUCUCUCACUCUCUACUACCUCAACUCCCUCUCUCUCCCCCAUAAAUUCAUCCUCAUCGCCCGUCACCUCUUGUCAAAACUCGCAAUUUUGGUAUACUUCAUGCAAAAAAAGAUAAUUUUGCCCCCACCCUCGACCACCACAAUGAAUCUCCGGGACUUAGAUGCAGUUCUCCUCAUCCUACUCCUCUGUGAACUGCGCCAACACGAACCUGAGGCACUUGAUGCCCCACCAUCGCAUUGGCGCGAUAUCCUAUGUGACUAUGUAGCCAAGGACAUGUUGAAACUAUCUAGCUUUGGAAGUUCUAAAAGUGAAGUCACAAUCAAGUUCGUUGAGCUAGUUGCAAAGUGCAAGAAUUUUGUCAAUGUUAUGGCCUAUGAUGUUGGUGAACUCGGGCGGAGCUCCAGGUAAAAAUAAAUUUUUUUGUACAUGUAUAAACUGUAGUAACUUUUAGUCAAAGAUGAAUAUAAUGGACCAGAUAGUUAAUGGAUCCAACUGAAGCCUUAUUUUCUACACGGAGUAUAGACACCCAUGUAAAAUAAAGGUAUCACAAUUAAUGUCAACAAAGUAUUAACUUUUAAACUCAUAAAUGAGAAUUGCAAUGAAUUCAGCUGGUAAGACCUAAAAGAUUCACUUUUGCUAGGUUUAAAAAUUAUUUUAGGUCAUAGGUUUAAUCCAUGUGUGAUUCUUAAUUUUUCCCCAGAAUUCUUGACUCCGCCACUAGUGGUGAAGGAAAAUAUAGCAAGACGUUAGCGACAUCCGUGGCGGUGGUGGUGGCGCUGCCGUCAGUGGAAGUGAUGAGUGGCAGUGAAAAGGAAUGUGUGAUAUGCAAGGAAGAGAUGAGAAAAGGCAGAAAUGUUUGCAAAUUAGCAUGUGAUCAUAUUUUUCAUUGGAAAUGUAUACUACCUUGGUUGAAGAAGAUGAAUACUUGUCCAUUUUGCCGGUUUCAGCUGCCGUCCGAUGAUGUUUUGGCUGAAAUUCAACGGCUGUGGGAAAUG